GAAAUACUCUCUUCGUUUUGAAAUUCUUGUCUUAGCUUUGCCUGAAUGUGAAUGUAUCUAGUCACGUUUUAGUAUUUUGAUACAUCAAUUUCUAAAUAAAUCUAAGAAAAGAAUUUUGGGACGGAGGAAGUACUAU
Molecule: microRNA precursor, 136 nt
Filed under: Hordeum vulgare
Lineage: Eukaryota; Viridiplantae; Streptophyta; Magnoliopsida; Poales; Poaceae
Description: microRNA MIR1122
Rfam family: MIR1120/MIR1122 microRNA precursor family
Source: RNAcentral